RNAcentral lists this ribosomal RNA (1315 nucleotides) under Rhantaticus congestus. Its description in RNAcentral is "SSU rRNA". It matches the Rfam family "Eukaryotic small subunit ribosomal RNA", at positions 602 to 1774 of the family's 1831-position model. The record is from RNAcentral. Lineage: Eukaryota; Metazoa; Arthropoda; Insecta; Coleoptera; Dytiscidae.
UAUUAAAGUUGUUGCGGUUAAAAAGCUCGUAGUUGAAUCUGUGUCUCGCGCUGUCGGUUCACCGCCCGCGGUGUCAAACUGGCAUGCCGCGAGACGUCCUGCCGGUGGGCCGGCGGGGCGUUCGCGUCCCUACGGCCCGACUUGAAAUCCUACCGCGGUGCUCUUCACUGAGUGUCGAGGUGGGCCGGCACGUUUACUUUGAACAAAUUAGAGUGCUCAAAGCAGGCUAAAACUUCGCCUGAAUACUGUGUGCAUGGAAUAAUGGAACAGGACCUCGGUUCUAUUUUGUUGGUUUUCGGAACCCCGAGGUAAUGAUUAAUAGGGACAGGUGGGGGCAUUCGUAUUGCGACGUUAGAGGUGAAAUUCUUGGACGUCGCAAGACGGACAGAAGCGAAAGCAUUUGCCAAAGAUGUUUUCAUUAAUCAAGAACGAAAGUCAGAGGUUCGAAGGCGAUCAGAUACCGCCCUAGUUCUGACCAUAAACGAUGCCAGCUAGCGAUCCGCCGACGUUCCUCCGAUGACUCGGCGGGCAGCUUCCGGGAAACCAAAGCUUUUGGGUUCCGGGGGAAGUAUGGUUGCAAAGCUGAAACUUAAAGGAAUUGACGGAAGGGCACCACCAGGAGUGGAGCCUGCGGCUUAAUUUGACUCAACACGGGAAACCUCACCAGGCCCGGACACCGGAAGGAUUGACAGAUUGAGAGCUCUUUCUUGAUUCGGUGGGUGGUGGUGCAUGGCCGUUCUUAGUUGGUGGAGCGAUUUGUCUGGUUAAUUCCGAUAACGAACGAGACUCUAGCCUGCUAACUAGGCGUUACUUUCCGGCAUCUCGAAGGCUCGCGUCUCCCGUUCGCCGGUGCGUGCGAGUGUCGCGUCGCGGCGUCUCUGGCGUCCGCGCGUGCCUCGCGCGUCCGGUCGGGUGUUCGCGGUUUUUACUGCCGGCGUACACAUUAAUCUUCUUAGAGGGACAGGCGGCUCCUAGCCGCACGAGAUUGAGCAAUAACAGGUCUGUGAUGCCCUUAGAUGUUCUGGGCCGCACGCGCGCUACACUGAAGGAAUCAGCGUGUCCUCCCUGGCCGAGCGGUCCGGGUAACCCGCUGAACCUCCUUCGUGCUAGGGAUUGGGGCUUGCAAUUGUUCCCCAUGAACGAGGAAUUCCCAGUAAGCGCGAGUCAUAAGCUCGCGUUGAUUACGUCCCUGCCCUUUGUACACACCGCCCGUCGCUACUACCGAUUGAAUGAUUUAGUGAGGUCUUCGGACCGGCACGCGGCGAGGUUUCGACGUCGCCGAUGUCGCUGGGAAGAUGACCAAACUUGAUCAUUU